AGAGAGGGAGAGAGGAAGGGGAGUUGCAAAAAAAAGAGCUUUAGGAGUAUUAGAGUAAAGAUUAAUGAGUGGCAAUAUUUGUGGUAAAACCAGGAUUGUUCACCAGGACAGGAAUAUGUGCCAUGCGCAACACACAAGAAUUCUCUUGCCUGGUACUAGGAAGGGACGUUUACUGAGUACUUUGUUGCCAUAUCUCCUUUGUUCAGGAGUGCUACUUCAUUUGGAUGCACUCAAGCAAUUACUUAUCUUUUCUCCCUCACGAAGAUCAAGCAUCAGCACUUGCUUAUUCUAAAAAUGUUUAUUUUGGUGAAUAGCAGCACGUUGCAGAAGAAUCAAUCAGGAGCAGAGGCAUCACAUAAGCAAUGGUACAACUUUUGGACUCUCUCUUAUUGCUAAAUAGAUAAUUGCCGAGGUGGUGUUUGCUAGAUUCCGCGACUUUAGCUAACUUUUGGACUCGCGAGAGGCUAUGCAAUUUGGGCCUGACAUCCAAACCCAAAUGGGUCUUGGUGCAUCCUCGACAGAUAUCAGGUCUCACAAAAUUUGCCUAAGCCUGGCCGAGAAACAAUGGCGACUAUGCUUGGCGUCCCCAUGGCAAGCUCGAACUAUUUACAACAAAGAUUAAUGCUGGCUCAAGCUCAAGCAAGCCACGAAGAGGUUUCACGAACUGUUCUCUUCUUUUCUUCUUACACUAGAUGAAACCAAGACC
Molecule: long non-coding RNA, 706 nt
Filed under: Phoenix dactylifera (date palm)
Lineage: Eukaryota; Viridiplantae; Streptophyta; Magnoliopsida; Arecales; Arecaceae
Description: long non-coding RNA (PDAC_LNC017115)
Source: RNAcentral